AUUGAACGCUGGCGGCAGGCCUAACACAUGCAAGUCGAGCGAAUGAAGGGAGCUUGCUCCUGGAUUCAGCGGCGGACGGGUGAGUAAUGCCUAGGAAUCUGCCUGGUAGAGGAGAAUGACGUCACGUAAGGGGCGCUAAUACCGAAUACGUCAGGAUGGAGAACGGGGUGGUUCAUCGGUCCCAACGCUACCAGAUGAGCCUAGGUCGGAUUAGCUAGUUGGUGGGGUAAAGGCCUACCAAGGCGACGAUCCGUAACUGGUCUGAGAGGAUGAUCAGUCACACUGGAACUGAGACACGGUCCAGACUCCUACGGGAGGCAGCAGUGGGGAAUAUUGGACAAUGGGCGAAAGCCUGAUCCAGCCAUGCCGCGUGUGUGAAGAAGGUCUUCGGAUUGUAAAGCACUUUAAGUUGGGAGGAAGAGCAGUAAGUUAAUACCUUGCUGUUUUGACGUUACCAACAGAAUAAGCACCGGCUAACUUCGUG
Molecule: ribosomal RNA, 484 nt
Filed under: uncultured bacterium
Lineage: Bacteria
Description: partial 16S ribosomal RNA
Rfam family: Bacterial small subunit ribosomal RNA
Source: RNAcentral